UGCACGGCUAUGAAGAAGAAUAGUACCCUCCGUAACACUGAAGAGAGCCGGUGGUUGGUGCAAAUCGGCGUGAAUGCGGCGGGGAAUGGGCUUCCGAGCUCCAAACCGAACCCUGCGGGGGUGUAGGAUUUGGCGAAACAUCCCGUCGUUACAAGGGAGAACGCAUGAAAUACUCAUGCUGUGAAGAGAACUGUUUUCAACAGUUAAAAAAGGUGGCACCGCGGUCCCUCGUCCUUUGG
Molecule: non-coding RNA, 239 nt
Filed under: Bacillus sp. (in: firmicutes)
Lineage: Bacteria; Bacillati; Bacillota; Bacilli; Caryophanales; Bacillaceae
Description: Bacillus sp. T-box sequence
Rfam family: T-box leader
About the family: Uncharged tRNA acts as the effector for transcription antitermination of genes in the T-box leader family.
Source: RNAcentral